This 406-nucleotide ribosomal RNA is filed under the name uncultured bacterium. RNAcentral describes it as "partial 16S ribosomal RNA". It matches the Rfam family "Bacterial small subunit ribosomal RNA", at positions 30 to 526 of the family's 1533-position model. The record is from RNAcentral.
AUUGAACGCUGGCGGCAGGCCUAACACAUGCAAGUCGAACGAGUGGCGGACGGGUGAGUAAUGUCUGGGAAACUGCCUGAUGGAGGGGGAUAACUACUGGAAACGGUAGCUAAUACCGCAUACCAUCGGAUGUGCCCAGAUGGGAUUAGCUAGUUGGUGGGGUAAAGGCUCACCUAGGCGACGAUCCCUAGCUGGUCUGAGAGGAUGACCAGCCACACUGGGACUGAGACACGGUCCAGACUCCUACGGGAGGCAGCAGUGGGGAAUAUUGGACAAUGGGCGAAAGCCUGAUGCAGCCAUGCCGCGUGUAUGAUGAAGGCCUUCGGGUUGUAAAGUACUUUCAGCAGGGAAGCGGUACCCGCAGAAGAAGCACCGGCUAACUCCGUGCCAGCAGCCGCGGUAAUUC